This 429-nucleotide ribosomal RNA is filed under the name Verrucomicrobiota bacterium. RNAcentral describes it as "Verrucomicrobia bacterium partial 16S ribosomal RNA". It matches the Rfam family "Bacterial small subunit ribosomal RNA", at positions 355 to 776 of the family's 1533-position model. Lineage: Bacteria; Pseudomonadati; Verrucomicrobiota. The record is from RNAcentral.
UAGGGAAUCUUCGGCAAUGGGGGGAACCCUGACCGAGCAACGCCGCGUGAGUGAAGAAGGUUUUCGGAUCGUAAAGCUCUGUUGUUAAGGAAGAACGAGUGUGAGAAUGGAAAGUUCAUGCUGUGACGGUACUUAACCAGAAAGGGACGGCUAACUACGUGCCAGCAGCCGCGGUAAUACGUAGGUCCCGAGCGUUGUCCGGAUUUAUUGGGCGUAAAGCGAGCGCAGGCGGUUAGAAAAGUCUGAAGUGAAAGGCAGUGGCUCAACCAUUGUAGGCUUUGGAAACUGUUUAACUUGAGUGCAGAAGGGGAGAGUGGAAUUCCAUGUGUAGCGGUGAAAUGCGUAGAUAUAUGGAGGAACACCGGUGGCGAAAGCGGCUCUCUGGUCUGUAACUGACGCUGAGGCUCGAAAGCGUGGGGAGCGGACAGG